RNAcentral lists this ribosomal RNA (484 nucleotides) under uncultured bacterium. RNAcentral's name for it is "bacterial SSU rRNA". It matches the Rfam family "Bacterial small subunit ribosomal RNA", at positions 19 to 518 of the family's 1533-position model. The record is from RNAcentral.
AUGGCUCAGGACGAACGCUGGCGGCACGCUUAACACAUGCAAGUCGAACGGGGUUAAUUCCUUCGGGGAUUAACUUAGUGGCGGACGGGUGAGUAACACGUGAGCAACCUGCCUUCAAGCGAGGAAUAAUGAGUGGAAACGCUCUGUAAUACCUCAUAACGUAUUUUUUACCGCAUGAUAGGAAUACCAAAGAUUUAUCACUUGAAGAUGGGCUCGCGUCCGAUUAGCUAGUUGGUGAGGUAACGGCUCACCAAGGCGACGAUCGGUAGCCGUACUGAGAGGUAGAUCGGCCACAUUGGGACUGAGACACGGCCCAGACUCCUACGGGAGGCAGCAGUGGGGAAUAUUGCACAAUGGAGGAAACUCUGAUGCAAGCGAUGCCGCGUGAGCGAAGAAGGCCUUUUGGUUGUAAAGCUCUGUUAUCAGGGACGAAAAUGACGGUACCUGAGGAGGAAGCUCCGGCUAACUACGUGCCAGCCGCAGC